GCCGGGGUGGUGAAAUUGGUAGACGCAGCGGACUCAAAAUCCGCCGGGCUUUAGAGCUCAUGCCGGUUCGACUCCGGCCCUCGGCA
This 86-nucleotide transfer RNA is filed under the name bacterium. Its description in RNAcentral is "tRNA-Leu". It matches the Rfam family "tRNA". From Rfam's summary of the family: Transfer RNA (tRNA) molecules are approximately 80 nucleotides in length. Their secondary structure includes four short double-helical elements and three loops (D, anti-codon, and T loops). RNAcentral also lists the same sequence under 1 other name. The record is from RNAcentral.